UCGUUUUUAAUGACAUCUUUUAGAUGGAUGAUUCGUGUAAAUAUGCUAGUUCUUUCAUGAUUAUGUGAUAGGUGGUGCAUGGCCGUUCUUAGUUCGUGGAGUGAUCUGUCUGCUUAAUUGCGUUUCACUAAGGCCCCAAAGUUAGCAAAUUAUCAAUCGUUACAGAGUCGACCCCUCACCUUUGAGUGCGCGUCCUAACUUGUAGUACAUGGUGUAAAUGGAU
RNAcentral lists this ribosomal RNA (223 nucleotides) under Neogloboquadrina incompta. RNAcentral's name for it is "partial 18S ribosomal RNA". Lineage: Eukaryota; Foraminifera; Rotaliida; Globorotaliidae. The record is from RNAcentral.